AUGGGGGGAACCCUGAUCCAGCCAUGCCGCGUGUGUGAAGAAGGCCUUUUGGUUGUAAAGCACUUUAAGCGAGGAGGAGGCUACCGAGACUAAUACUCUUGGAUAGUGGACGUUACUCGCAGAAUAAGCACCGGCUAACUCUGUGCCAGCAGCCGCGGUAAUACAGAGGGUGCGAGCGUUAAUCGGAUUUACUGGGCGUAAAGCGUGCGUAGGCGGCUUUUUAAGUCGGAUGUGAAAUCCCUGAGCUUAACUUAGGAAUUGCAUUCGAUACUGGGAGGCUAGAGUAUGGGAGAGGAUGGUAGAAUUCCAGGUGUAGCGGUGAAAUGCGUAGAGAUCUGGAGGAAUACCGAUGGCGAAGGCAGCCAUCUGGCCUAAUACUGACGCUGAGGUACGAAAGCAUGGGGAGCAAACAGGAUUAGAUACCCUGGUAGUCCAUGCCGUAAACGAUGUCUACUAGCCGUUGGGGCCUUUGAGGCUUUAGUGGCGCAGCUAACGCGAUAAGUAGACCGCCUGGGGAGUACG
Molecule: ribosomal RNA, 522 nt
Filed under: uncultured bacterium
Lineage: Bacteria
Description: bacterial SSU rRNA
Rfam family: Bacterial small subunit ribosomal RNA
Source: RNAcentral